Long non-coding RNA from Oncorhynchus keta (chum salmon), 507 nucleotides. RefSeq lists it as uncharacterized. NCBI's taxonomy places the organism in Eukaryota, Metazoa, Chordata, Actinopteri, Salmoniformes, Salmonidae. The record is from RefSeq and is a predicted model, not a curated record. The transcript has 4 exons.
AAACACAGAGAGGUGGGGAGGUGAGAGGCAGGAGCUGAACGCAGAGAGAGAAGUAGGAACCCAACGCCUCUGUUCAGUAAACACAGAGAGGUGGGGAGGUGAGAGGCAGGAGCUGAACGCAGAGAGAGAAGUAGGAACCCAACGCCUCUGUUCAGUAAACACAGAGAGGUGGGGAGGUGAGAGGCAGGAGCUGAACGCAGAGAGAGAAGUAGGAACCCAACGCCUCUGUUCAGUAAACACAGAGAGGUGGGGAGGUGAGAGGCAGGAGCUGAACGCAGAGAGAGAAGUAGGAACCCAACGCCUCUGUUCAGUAAACACAGAGAGGUGGGGAGGUGAGAGGCAGGAGCUGAACGCAGAGAGAGAAGUAGGAACCCAACGCCUCUGUUCAGUAAACACAGAGAGGUGGGGAGGUGAGAGGCAGGAGCUGAACGCAGAGAGAGAAGUAGGAACCCAACGCCUCUGUUCAGUAAACACAGAGAGGUGGGGAGGUGAGAGGCAGGAGCUGAA